Long non-coding RNA from Anopheles coluzzii, 1304 nucleotides. RefSeq lists it as uncharacterized. The record is from RefSeq and is a predicted model, not a curated record. The transcript is spliced from 2 exons. NCBI's taxonomy places the organism in Eukaryota, Metazoa, Arthropoda, Insecta, Diptera, Culicidae.
CAAAAAAAAAAAAUAAAAAAAUGGUAAGAAGCGUCGAAUCUGUUUUAUUUCGUGGUUCACCACAAGGGUUAAAGCACUUUCUGUCCCGAAUUGUUUCCUUUUCGCUGCAAGUUCUAACCACACGUUAUCACCAACGUGAUACAAUUAAUUGCAAUACCUCUAUUAAGUUACUGAUUUUUUUAAGCAUAUCCGUAAUGUUUAAUUUUUAUUAGUAUGUAUUAUUGUUUUAUAUGUAUUUGUUUGUACAAAAACGUAACAGGACUGUAUUGCUGGCUUACUUACAAAACAGAAUGGUUAGUGUAGUUUUGUGUAGAGAGGAUCCUGGUGGAAUUUAUCCACGUCUGGUCUUGUAGAGAUAAGUGCCUUUUUCAUACUAUAUUCAAUUGAUCUACAUGGAGCCCCAGAAAGCGAACUUCAACUCUUUGACCACAUCAUAAGCGAUAAGAUAGUAGCAGAUGCAGGACGAAUGAUGGAGAAAAACAUGAAGGUAGAUGCCCUUAUCCAAAGGGCAAACGCCGAAUAACCACGCUUACAGAUCAAACACUCCCCUCAAUCACAAAACUCAUCCAAGGUAGUCGGUAGUCGCCUCUGGUACUCUGUUGGAUCAGUACAAAACGGUUCCUCUGACUGUGGAAUCUACUGCAGCAUCGACAUUAGCACCAUCCGACUACCAGACCAUACCUCAACCUUUACCGCAGAAGCAAGGGCCCUGGUUAUUGCUGCUGAUGAAGGCCUAGACAGAGACAAAACCAACGUGAUCUUUACAGACAGUGCAAGUGUCCUACAAGCACUUGAAUCUGGAACUACCCGCGACUAGAACACGCAGUCGACUGGCCAACGCAGGAAGUAAUAACCCGGCCUGCUGCCAUAACACUCUUCCACGCGGUGAUUUCAUUCGCCUUAGCAAAACCAUCAUCGAUAAUAGCUGGAAUGGUUAUUGAUUUGGUAACGGCCGCUUUUUCCUGAGAACCAUCAAGACCACAACACCACCACGGAGAGACCAUCCAUCACACCAAGACCAGAGAAACCUAUCACGACUUCGGAUAGGACACACCCGGCUCACCUACACCAUUUUAUUACAAAAAUCAAGCCCACCACUCUGCAGUUUCUGUGGCGUUGACAUCACCGUCCGUCACAUCUUAACCGAAUGCCAUGGAUAUUCUGUGAAGCGCAUUACCUGCAAAUUGGACCACAGCAUCGACACCAUCCUCUCACAAGAUAGAGAUUACCAGCGUAAACUUUUAAAAUUCUUUCGUUUAACGUACCUUUAUAAAUAACCUUUUUAAUAAAAUCAACUGAUAAUA